Molecule: ribosomal RNA, 436 nt
Filed under: uncultured bacterium
Lineage: Bacteria
Description: bacterial SSU rRNA
Rfam family: Bacterial small subunit ribosomal RNA
Source: RNAcentral
GAUGAACGCUGGCGGCGUGCUUAACACAUGCAAGUCGAACGGGAUCCAUCAGGCUUUGCUUGGUGGUGAGAGUGGCGAACGGGUGAGUAAUGCGUGACCGACCUGCCCCAUACACCGGAAUAGCUCCUGGAAACGGGUGGUAAUGCCGGAUGCUCCGACUCCUCGCAUGGGGUGUCGGGAAAGAUUUCAUCGGUAUGGGAUGGGGUCGCGUCCUAUCAGGUAGUCGGCGGGGUAACGGCCCACCGAGCCUACGACGGGUAGCCGGCCUGAGAGGGCGACCGGCCACAUUGGGACUGAGAUACGGCCCAGACUCCUACGGGAGGCAGCAGUGGGGAAUAUUGCACAAUGGGCGCAAGCCUGAUGCAGCGACGCCGCGUGCGGGAUGACGGCCUUCGGGUUGUAAACCGCUUUUGAUCGGGAGCAAGCCUUCGGGUGA